GAUGAAGAACGUAGCGAAAUGCGAUAAGUAAUGUGAAUUGCAGAAUUCAGUGAAUCAUCGAAUCCUUGAACGCACAUUGCGCCCGCCAGUAUUCUGGCGGGCAUGCCUGUUCGAGCGUCAUUUCAACCCUCGACCUCCCCUUGGGGAGGUCGGCGUUGGGGACCGGCAGCACACCGCCGGCCCUGAAAUGGAGUGGCGGCCCGUCCGCGGCGACCUCUGCGCAGUAAUACAGCUCGCACCGGGACCCCGACGCGGCCACGCCGUAAAACACCCAACUUCUGAACGUUGACCUCGAAUCAGGUAGGACUACCCGCUGAACUUAAGCAUAUCAAUAAGCGGAGGA
This 343-nucleotide unclassified non-coding RNA is filed under the name soil metagenome. RNAcentral describes it as "partial contains 5.8S ribosomal RNA, internal transcribed spacer 2, and large subunit ribosomal RNA". The stretch from base 1 to 120 matches the Rfam family "5.8S ribosomal RNA", at positions 35 to 154 of the family's 154-position model. The record is from RNAcentral.